Molecule: small nucleolar RNA, 129 nt
Organism: Grammomys surdaster
Lineage: Eukaryota; Metazoa; Chordata; Mammalia; Rodentia; Muridae
Product: small nucleolar RNA SNORA17
Exons: 1
Source: RefSeq, a predicted model, not a curated record
CCUGCCCCUAGAGGCAUCGGAGGUGUGACUGCUAUAUCAUGUGUGUGUCAGUAGGUGGCAGAGAAGAGAGAGGCUAUGAUCAAGUGUGCUCUGAAUUGUGAAUAUCUUAUUGCAUAGUAGCCUAAGGUU